UGUCCUAAACAUAUGGCUUGAAAGUAUCUGACCUCAUGUCAUUUCAGAAGCUAAUCAGGGACAGGCUUAGAUAACAUGUGGAUAGGAGAUUGCCUUGGAAUAUUUGGCAUUGCAU
Molecule: ribosomal RNA, 115 nt
Filed under: Notamacropus eugenii (tammar wallaby)
Lineage: Eukaryota; Metazoa; Chordata; Mammalia; Diprotodontia; Macropodidae
Source: RNAcentral